RNAcentral lists this long non-coding RNA (883 nucleotides) under Equus caballus (horse). RNAcentral describes it as "lncRNA (ENSECAG00000059612.1)". The record is from RNAcentral. Lineage: Eukaryota; Metazoa; Chordata; Mammalia; Perissodactyla; Equidae.
GUGAGAACUACCCCUUUUGGUCUCUUGACUCCAUUUUAACGAGGUUUCGGUUUAUUAGUUUCUACAGUUUCUGAGAUCCCUAUUCAAACGUCCUCUUCUCCCUGAAUAUAAGCGCCAUGAGAGGAGAAGUUUGUAUCUGUCUGUUUUGCUCACUACUGUAUCCCCAGCACCUAGAACAGAGCCUGGCACACAGGCCAAUGGAAGCUUCCUUUGCCGGGUGAGAUGGAAGUGGACUCUCAGAUUGGCGCUGAAAAGGAAGAAGAAUGGAGGGGGGGGUCCCAGGGGGGCCACUUACUUCCCAGUGCUUUUCUGGGCCUUUUUCCUCCUCCUCCUCCUCCCAAGUUUCGAAUAAAGACAGCUGCUUCUUUGAGAACGCUUACCAGUGCUCAGCUUGGUUCAAGGAUAAAAAGAGAGUCAGAAAUGAAUAAUUCUGAAUACUUUACUGUGGAAUUCUCCUAAUGUCCCAAACUGAAGUCUGUUUCGUUGCCUGGGUUGGAAAGUAAGAUUCAUUAUGAAUUUAUUUCUCCCGCAACUUCUGCUGCAGAAAUCUCCAUGAUUCUAGGAUUUGGAUGCAUUCUAGGAUGCAGUCUAUGCAGGGUAAAGGGACAGAGGAAGGGACAACAAGCAAUGCAUGUUACAAUUUAGGCUAUAGUUUAGGCCAUGUGUUAGACUCAUCUGUAGCUCCAGUACCUUGAAAUACUUGGAUGGACCCAGAGAUAAAUCAGAGUGGAGAAAGGAUUUGGAGUAACUAGAUGGCUCCAAAAUGCCUCCCAGAAGGCUGAUUGGAGUCUGAGUUCCUCUCAGACAGCACAGAAUUGGAUUGUUUAACUUGAUGUCCCCACCCCGUCUUCAGCAGCCCCACCAACAUGCAGCCCAGUCUCGG